Molecule: long non-coding RNA, 1740 nt
Organism: Rhineura floridana
Lineage: Eukaryota; Metazoa; Chordata; Lepidosauria; Squamata; Rhineuridae
Exons: 5
Source: RefSeq, a predicted model, not a curated record
UCGUACGGAACCCGGCCUCGCCAUUUUCACCCAGCUAAGAGAACGGGAGCCCGGGCAGAAAAAACAACCCUUCCCCAAAUCCGAUCGAUGAGUCCAACGGUUACUCAGGGAGAAGAACCUAGCUCCACCCCUUGCUCUCAUUCAGAGGCAGCCGCGGCAGACCGAGCGGGAAGGGAAUAGGUGGGAGGAAAAUAAGAAUUCGGAGAUCUUCUAUUGGCUAAGUUGGACCAAUGGAGGCAGCCAAGCGCGAGGAAGGCGCGGCUUAGCCACUUUGUCGCUUAUUAAUUGUCGGAGUGAACGCUGGGAUGACCCGGAACGCUUACUCCAGGUGCCGAUGAUUCUUCCAACAAUGCAACACAGUCGGCUUUGCUAUUGAGUGCUACUUUUGCUAAUAUUGGGACAUAAUAGUACCAAGCGUACAAAAGUAAAAGAUUAAACUUGACAGUGUCAAAUAGAUGAUUACGGUAAUAUUGUUAAUUCCUUUGGUACGUUACCUUGCGCUUCUCGGAGCAGAGGAUGAGAGAAUGAAUGAAUGGGCUACUGGACACCCAAGUACUUUACUCACGAAAACAGUUUGGGGUCAGCCAGAAAAAGAGGCUGAAGCGGUAACACCUUGGCUCUAUCCCAGAAGUGCUGGAGUUUUGAAUACCCCUUGACAGCUGCCAAGGCACCUGUGUGGAUUAUUCCUAAUGGGGAUGAAGGUGUGGUUCACAGCCAGCAUUAGAGAUCAGCAUCAUUGGGCAUCUACUGACCCUGGUGGGAUCCACCAAUAACCCCAGAGGGAUAGGAAUCCAUAGAAACAAUUCUGAACUUUUGCCCUGCAGAUGAAGGCUUCUGAAAUUCCCGCCAAUUCCACGUGCAGUGCCAGUAACAUAGCAGUAUAUGAUGUACUGAGACCUACUCCAACCUGACCCGUGGAUUCUGGGUAAAAUCAUUCACCUUGAUCAAGCCGUCUGGCCCAAUGCUGUAUAGAGAACAUAAAAAUAGAGGUUUGCUCAAUCAGCAGGACUUGUUCUGUAUGAAACAUUCUACACUUUUUAUGUCGCACAUGUAAUUGUAGUAUCAUAUUCUGUCUUUCCAAAUGUAAUUUUUGCUUCUACCUCUUUGAAAAUUUACAUUGAUUUUAAAAGAACUUCAUUUAGUGUAGUAGUAAUACAUGAAGAUUAGACUGCAAGUCAAGGAAUGCCACAAGGCGGCAGCAAUCAUGUAUAUCCUGAAAUGAAGGCUGCUUUCACACAUAACACUUUUCCUAACACAGAGCCAAAGGGGAUAGGGACGUUACAAUUUAAAACAGAUGCAUAAAUAAAGAAUUUUUGCUAUCAGUGGUCACUACAAUAGGAUUAACUAUAAAAUGUCAGGGAGAAGGGUUGAGUGGUCCACUAAAUGCCCUCUCAAUGGGCAAAAAUAAGAUAAAGUUGAGAAUAUUUGUAUUCAUUUCAGCUAAAAGUAUGUACUUAAUUAUUUCUUGUUGAAUAAACAGGACAUAAAAUGCUUAAUUUUUGUUGAAUUGUGCCCAAAGGACUUCUAGAGAGAUCCCCCCCCCAAUGUGAAUGGGAAAAUAUUUUAAAUUCCUAAGUAUCAGAAUCAAGAGGUGUUGCAGAAUGUUGGGUUGGGACCUGCAAAACUAGGGUUCAAAUCCCCAUUCAGGCAUAAAGCUUACUGGAUGACCGUGGCCCAGUCACAGCCUCACAGUGUUGUUGUGAAGAUAAAGUGGGGGGGGGAGAGAAACAUGUAUGCAAC